Sorex fumeus (smoky shrew) is the source of this 104-nucleotide small nuclear RNA. Lineage: Eukaryota; Metazoa; Chordata; Mammalia; Eulipotyphla; Soricidae. The record is from RefSeq and is a predicted model, not a curated record.
UUGCUUCAGCAGCACCUAUACUAAAAUUGGAACAAUACAGAGAUUAGAUACAGACCCCCCUGUACUAGGAUGACAGCAAAAUUCAUGAAGCACUCCAUAUAUUU